Molecule: ribosomal RNA, 480 nt
Filed under: uncultured bacterium
Lineage: Bacteria
Description: partial 16S ribosomal RNA
Rfam family: Bacterial small subunit ribosomal RNA
Source: RNAcentral
GACGAACGCUGGCGGCGUGCUUUAUACAUGCAAGUCGAACGAUGAAGUUCCUUCGGGAAUGGAUUAGUGGCGAACGGGUGAGGAACACGUGAGAAACCUGCCUUUCAUUCUGGGAUAACACCGGGAAACCGGUGCUAAUACCGGAUACUCCGUCUUGGCGGCAUCGCCGAGCCGGGAAAAAAUUUUGAUGAAAGAUGGUCUCGCGGCCUAUCAGCUAGUUGGUGAGGUAAAGGCUCACCAAGGCGACGACGGGUAGCCGGCCUGAGAGGGCGACAGGCCACACUGGGACUUGGACACGGCCCAGACUCCUUAGGGAGGCAGCAGUAGGGAAUAUUGGGCAAGGGGCGCAAGCCUGACCCAGCGACGCCGCGUGAGGGAUGAAGGUCUUCGGAUUGUAACCCUCUUUCAGUAGGGAAGAAGCGAAAGUGACGGUACCUAAAGAAGAAGCACCGGCUAACUAUGUGCCAGCAGCCGCCGUAA